This 73-nucleotide transfer RNA is filed under the name Gomphonema parvulum. RNAcentral's name for it is "tRNA-Cys". It matches the Rfam family "tRNA". Rfam says of the family: Transfer RNA (tRNA) molecules are approximately 80 nucleotides in length. Their secondary structure includes four short double-helical elements and three loops (D, anti-codon, and T loops). Lineage: Eukaryota; Bacillariophyta; Bacillariophyceae; Cymbellales; Gomphonemataceae. The record is from RNAcentral.
GGCUAAAUAACAUAAUUGGUUAAUGUGUUAGAUUGCAAAUCUUAUAAUAUCGGUUCAAUUCCGAUUUUAGCCU